AAUAUCAGCCCAAGUAUUAAUA
This 22-nucleotide small nuclear RNA is filed under the name Arabidopsis thaliana (thale cress). Its description in RNAcentral is "snRNA_04473". The record is from RNAcentral. Lineage: Eukaryota; Viridiplantae; Streptophyta; Magnoliopsida; Brassicales; Brassicaceae.